Microcebus murinus (gray mouse lemur) is the source of this 142-nucleotide small nuclear RNA. Its record names the gene U4. It matches the Rfam family "U4 spliceosomal RNA". Rfam says of the family: U4 small nuclear RNA (U4 snRNA) is a component of the major U2-dependent spliceosome. The structure of U4 snRNA from yeast and human has been reported. The record is from Ensembl. Lineage: Eukaryota; Metazoa; Chordata; Mammalia; Primates; Cheirogaleidae.
AGCUUUGCACAGUGGCAGUAUCACAGCAAAUAAAGUUUAUCCAAGGCAUGAUCAUUGCUAAAUGAAAACUUUUCCCAAGACCCCAUCAUGAUGACUUACCAGUAUAGUUGGCAUUGGCAAUUUCUGACAGUCUCUAUAGAGA